Long non-coding RNA from Olea europaea var. sylvestris, 226 nucleotides. RefSeq lists it as uncharacterized. The record is from RefSeq and is a predicted model, not a curated record. The transcript is spliced from 3 exons. Lineage: Eukaryota; Viridiplantae; Streptophyta; Magnoliopsida; Lamiales; Oleaceae.
GGGGUUACAGUGAUGAAAUGAAAACCCGAGUUCCCCACCAUCAAAAUCUACGGAGUUGGAACUUGGAAGCAAACUUGCAGAAUGAUACGAGGAGUAAUAGUGAUGAAUGAUAGAGGCAAGCCUCGUCUCGUCAAAUUCUACGAAUUUCAGCCUGCGGAGAAGCAGCAGGAGCUCAUUAGAAGCAUUUACAGAGGCAAGCUCCUAUUUAUUUACAUUCUAUGCAGUA